This 492-nucleotide ribosomal RNA is filed under the name uncultured bacterium. Its description in RNAcentral is "partial 16S ribosomal RNA". It matches the Rfam family "Bacterial small subunit ribosomal RNA", at positions 29 to 507 of the family's 1533-position model. The record is from RNAcentral.
AGUGAACGCUGGCGGUAGGCCUAACACAUGCAAGUCGAACGGCAGCACAGUAAGAGCUUGCUCUUACGGGUGGCGAGUGGCGGACGGGUGAGGAAUACAUCGGAAUCUACUUUUUCGUGGGGGAUAACGUAGGGAAACUUACGCUAAUACCGCAUACGACCUACGGGUGAAAGCAGGGGAUCUUCGGACCUUGCGCGAUUGAAUGAGCCGAUGUCGGAUUAGCUAGUUGGCGGGGUAAAGGCCCACCAAGGCGACGAUCCGUAGCUGGUCUGAGAGGAUGAUCAGCCACAUUGGAACUGAGACACGGUCCAGAGUCCUACGGGAGGCAGCAGUGGGGAAUAUUGGACAAUGGGGGCAAGCCGGAUCCAGCCAUACCGGGUGGGUGAAGAAGGCCUUCGGGUUGUAAAGCCCUUUUGUUGGGAAAGAAAAGCAGCAGGUUAAUACCCCGCUGUUCUGACGGUACCCAAAGAAUAAGCACCGGCUAACUUCGUG